RNAcentral lists this ribosomal RNA (240 nucleotides) under uncultured Actinomycetales bacterium. RNAcentral describes it as "partial 16S ribosomal RNA". It matches the Rfam family "Bacterial small subunit ribosomal RNA", at positions 89 to 334 of the family's 1533-position model. The record is from RNAcentral. Lineage: Bacteria; Bacillati; Actinomycetota; Actinomycetes; Actinomycetales.
ACUCGAGUGGCGAACGGGUGAGUAACACGUGGGUGAUCUGCCCUGCACUUCGGGAUAAGCCUGGGAAACUGGGUCUAAUACCGGAUAGGACCAUGCUUUAGUGUGUGUGGUGGAAAGUUUUCGGUGCAAGAUGAGCCCGCGGCCUAUCAGCUUGUUGGUGGGGUAAUGGCCUACCAAGGCGACGACGGGUAGCCGGCCUGAGAGGGUGUACGGCCACAUUGGGACUGAGACACGGCCCAG